UACCCGGAGAAGAAGCCCCGGCUAACUUCGUGCCAGCAGCCGCGGUAAUACGAAGGGGGCUAGCGUUGCUCGGAAUUACUGGGCGUAAAGGGAGCGUAGGCGGACAUUUAAGUCAGGGGUGAAAUCCCGGGGCUCAACCUCGGAAUUGCCUUUGAUACUGGGUGUCUUGAGUAUGAGAGAGGUAUGUGGAACUCCGAGUGUAGAGGUGAAAUUCGUAGAUAUUCGGAAGAACACCAGUGGCGAAGGCGACAUACUGGCUCAUUACUGACGCUGAGGCUCGAAAGCGUGGGGAGCAAACAGGAUUAGAUACCCUGGUAGUCCACGCCGUAAACGAUGAUUGCUAGUUGUCGGGAUGCAUGCAUUUCGGUGACGCAGCUAACGCAUUAAGCAAUCCGCCUGGGGAGUACGGUCGCAAGAUUAAAACU
Molecule: ribosomal RNA, 425 nt
Filed under: uncultured Alphaproteobacteria bacterium
Lineage: Bacteria; Pseudomonadati; Pseudomonadota; Alphaproteobacteria
Description: bacterial SSU rRNA
Rfam family: Bacterial small subunit ribosomal RNA
Source: RNAcentral